This 1345-nucleotide ribosomal RNA is filed under the name metagenome. RNAcentral's name for it is "bacterial LSU rRNA". It matches the Rfam family "Bacterial large subunit ribosomal RNA", at positions 1564 to 2925 of the family's 2925-position model. The record is from RNAcentral.
UGAGUACGAGCUGCUACGGCAGCGAAGUGGGUGAUGUCAUGCUUCCAAAAAGCCCUAUACCCGUUAAGGCAUGAUGGCCUGUACCCGAAACCGACACAGGUGGGGUGGUAGAGAAUACCGAGGGGCGCGAGGUAACUCUCUCUAAGGAACUCGGCAAAAUGGCCCCGUAACUUCGGGAGAAGGGGUGCCACCGCAAGGUGGUCGCAGUGAAGAGGCCCAGGCGACUGUUUACCAAAAACACAGGUCUCCGCUAAGUCGCAAGACGAUGUAUGGGGGCUGACGCCUGCCCAGUGCCGGAAGGUUAAGGAAGCUGGUCAGCGUAAGCGAAGCUAGCGACUGAAGCCCCGGUGAACGGCGGCCGUAACUAUAACGGUCCUAAGGUAGCGAAAUUCCUUGUCGGGUAAGUUCCGACCCGCACGAAAGGCGUAACGAUCUGGGCGCUGUCUCGGAGAGAGGCUCGGCGAAAUAGAAUUGUCUGUGAAGAUGCGGACUACGUGCACCCGGACAGAAAGACCCUAUGAAGCUUUACUGUAGCUUGGUAUUGUGCUCGGGCUCGGAAUGCGCAGGAUAGGUGGGAGGCUAUGAACCAUUGCUUGUGGGUGAUGGUGAGCCACUGGUGAGAUACCACUCUUUCCGAGCUAGAGUUCUAACAGCCACCCGUUAUCCGGGGGCUGGACAGUAUCAGGUGGGCAGUUUGACUGGGGCGGUCGCCUCCUAAAAGGUAACGGAGGCGCGCAAAGGUUUGCUCAGGCUGGUUGGAAAUCAGCCGACGAGUGUAAAAGCAGAAGCAAGCUUGACUGUGAGACCUACAAGUCGAACAGGGAGGAAACUCGGCUUUAGUGAUCCGACGGUUCUGCGUGGAAGGGCCGUCGCUCAACGGAUAAAGUUACUCUAGGAUAACAGGCUGAUCUCCCCCAAGAGUUCACAUCGACGGGGAGGUUUGGCACCUCGAUGUCGGCUCAUCGCAACCUGGGGCUGAAGUCGGUCCCAAGGGUUGGGCUGUUCGCCCAUUAAAGCGGUACGCGAGCUGGGUUCAGAACGUCGUGAGACAGUUCGGUCCAUAUCCGGUGCAUGCGCAGGAAUAUUGAGAGGAUUUCUCCCUAGUACGAGAGGACCGGGAGGAACGCACCUCUGGUGUACCAGUUAUCGUGCCAACGGUAAACGCUGGGUAGCCAUGUGCGGAGAGGAUAACCGCUGAAAGCAUCUAAGUGGGAAGCCCACCUCAAGAUGAGUAUUCCCAUGGGGUAACCCAGUAAGGUCACGGGAAGAACACCCGUUGAUAGGCUCUACGUGGAAGCGCAGUAAUGUGUGAAGCGGAGGAGUACUAAUAGACCGAGGGCUUGAC